Molecule: long non-coding RNA, 2527 nt
Organism: Mustela erminea (ermine)
Lineage: Eukaryota; Metazoa; Chordata; Mammalia; Carnivora; Mustelidae
Exons: 3
Source: RefSeq, a predicted model, not a curated record
GACAGAAUUACUUGGUAAAUUAUUUUGGAAAACUCUCUCUCUCCUAUACUAAGGCUUUUGAGUAUAUUUCUACCACUAAAUUCUUGCAAUCCACACAGGUUUUCUAGUUAAGCAGUCUGGUUUGGAAAGGUUAAGAUUGGGAAAGGGAAUUAUCAUAGACAGGGUUGAGAAACUUUGGGCUAUUAAUGCUUUAAAACAAGCAUUAUAUCACUACAAUUUUUUUUUUUUUUUUAAAAUAUCACGACAGAAUUUUAAGCAAACGAUUUCAUGUUGGGAUUACUUGCCAGGGAAGUGAAUGUCUGGAAAUCUACCACUGAGCUGCUGAGAUGCUGCCAAAUAAAAUGUUUAUUUUACAGGGAUGUGUUCGAUUUAAUGCCAGUGUAUAUUGCCAUAAUAAAAAGGAUUGCUUGGCCACUCUGCCCUAACAAUAGGUAAAAAGCUGAACGCAUUGGAAGAGUAACAACUCUUCUUGCAUCUGUGAGAGAGGAGAAGACACGGGGCCAGAUCGGAAAGGCAGACAGGCGAUUACAAAGAGUCAUGGCUUAAGACUCCAGGGCAUAGACUCCUAAGUAGAAGCUGCUGUGGGAAAGAGUCAGGGUUAGGGAAACUGGAACUGUAAGUGAUGAGCUACUGAAGAUGCAAUGUGGACAAGUCACAGGGGGACCCCACAAUUUUAUGAGUUUUACCUCCAUGAGUUCGACCAGGUUCCUAGAGUAAAUAUCAGAGAAAAAUCCCCUUGUGCUUUCAGUAAGAGGAGGGAAAAAGGAAUCAUUUUGGAAUCCCCCAGAGCACUCCCUUCUUAACACAAAGAAACUAGUUAACAAGAACCUAACCUGCUGGGGUGUUAUCAGAGCUUAAACUGACCUGGGGGAAGGGAAGUCCCCAACUCAGCUCACUCUAGCCAUCUCAUCCCAUUGUCCCACCUAAAGGGAGAGGAAACAACAGAGAAACACUUGUGAAGCUCCUAGUCCAAAGGCGUAGGCUCACUAAAAGACCAAGACCUAACCGCAGGACUUCUAGAACCCUCCCCCUACUCCCACACCUUACUGCUACAUUACUAAAGUCCUACCUAUUGCAGUUCCUUUUACCUGGUACACCAUGUCCUGCUAUAAAGAAAAAAUUCAAGGCAUCCUAAAAGGCAAAAAACAUCACUGGAAGAGGCAGAACAAACAUCAUAAUCAGAUGUGGGCAGGGAUGUUGGAAUUAUCAUUCACAGAAUAUUUUGAAAAACCAGUUACUACACUAAGGGCUCUAAUGCAUGCGAGAACAGGUGGGCCAUGUAAGUGGAGAGAUGGAAAUCCUAAGAAUCAAAAAGACGUACUGGAGGUCAAAAACAUCGCAGGAGAAAUGAAGAAUGACUUCAAUGACCUUAGUAGUAGACACAAGGAAAGAAGAACCUCAAGCUUGAGGAUGUAUCAAUAAAAACUUUAAAAAGUGAAAAGAAAAAAGAAUAGUGACUCAAAAAUAUCAGAAAAAAAAAUCAGAACAAGGACAGUGGAGCAACUACAAAAGGUAUAACCUACACAUAAUGGGAAUAUCAGAAGGAGAAGAAAGAAGGGAACAGAAAAAAUACUUGAAACUGAUGACUGAGAAUUUCCCCUAAAUAAUGUCAGACACCGAACCACAGAUUCAGGGAAAUUAGGGAAUACCAAGCAGGCUAAGUCCCCAAAAAACUAUCCCUAGGCAUAUAAUUUUCAAACUACAGAAAAUAAAAAAUAAUGAAAAAAAUCCAGGAAGAAACCGGAGGUAAAAAAACACUUCACUCAUAGAGGAACAAAAAUAAGAAUUACAUACAACGUCUCCUCAGAAACCAUGCAAGCAAGAAGAGAGUUGAGUGAAAUAUUUAGUGUUCAGAGAGAUCCCCCACCAACAUAGAUGUCUUUAUCCUAAGAAAUUAGGCUUCAAAUAAAUGGAAGAGAAAUAAAGUCUUUCGCAGACAAAAAUCAAAGGAACUUGUUUUCAGUAGAUCUGCAUUGCAGGAAAUGUUUUAAACAAGCUCUAUAAAGAGAAGGAAAAUGAGAUAGGUCAGAAACUGGGGUCUAUUCUAUAUAAAAGGAAGAGCACUGAAGAAAAAAUAAAGUAAAAAUAUAACAUUUAUUUUUCUUAUUCUUAACUGAAAAUAGAUACAGUUCAAAAUUAUAGCAACAAUGUAUUUGAUUAUGUAUGCUUAUGUAUGGGUCUUAAGUAUGUAUAUAUAUGUAUGUUUAUGUUUGCCUAUAUAAAGAUGAAAUGAAUGACAGCAAUGAUAUAUGGGAUAGGAGGGAGAAAUUUGGAUUAUUUUAUUAUUAUAAGGUACUCACCUGUGAAGUGGUAGUAUUAUUUGAAAGUGGACUUGGGUUAGUUGUAAAUGUAUAUUGCAUACUCUAGGCAACCACUAAGAAGAAUUUUUUUAAAAAGAAGCAUAAUGUGUAUGCUAUCAAAGGACAGAACAUGGAAUCAUAUGAAAUGCUCACCAAAAACCACAAACGAUGGGAAAAGAGUGGAAGACAAAAAUAGGAACAAAGAACAGGGCAACAAAUAGAAAACA